This 520-nucleotide ribosomal RNA is filed under the name Salmonella enterica subsp. enterica serovar Typhimurium str. STm2. RNAcentral describes it as "bacterial LSU rRNA". It matches the Rfam family "Bacterial large subunit ribosomal RNA", at positions 1 to 551 of the family's 2925-position model. Lineage: Bacteria; Pseudomonadati; Pseudomonadota; Gammaproteobacteria; Enterobacterales; Enterobacteriaceae. The record is from RNAcentral.
GGGUUGUGAGGUUAAGCGACUAAGCGUACACGGUGGAUGCCCUGGCAGUCAGAGGCGAUGAAGGACGUGCUAAUCUGCGAUAAGCGCCGGUAAGGUGAUAUGAACCGUUAUAACCGGCGAUUUCCGAAUGGGGAAACCCAGUGUGAUUCGUCACACUAUCAUUAACUGAAUCCAUAGGUUAAUGAGGCGAACCGGGGGAACUGAAACAUCUAAGUACCCCGAGGAAAAGAAAUCAACCGAGAUUCCCCCAGUAGCGGCGAGCGAACGGGGAGGAGCCCAGAGCCUGAAUCAGCAUGUGUGUUAGUGGAAGCGUCUGGAAAGGCGCGCGAUACAGGGUGACAGCCCCGUACACAAAAGCGCAUGUGCUGUGAGCUCGAUGAGUAGGGCGGGACACGUGGUAUCCUGUCUGAAUAUGGGGGGACCAUCCUCCAAGGCUAAAUACUCCUGACUGACCGAUAGUGAACCAGUACCGUGAGGGAAAGGCGAAAAGAACCCCGGCGAGGGGAGUGAAAAAGAACCU